CCUACGGGUGGCAGCAGUGGGGAAUAUUGCACAAUGGGGGAAAGCCUGAUGCAGCAACGCCGCGUGAAGGAAGACGGUUUUCGGAUUGUAAACUUCUGUUCUUAGUGAAGAAUAAUGACGGUAGCUUAGGAGCAAGCCACGGCUAACUACGUGCCAGCAACCCCGGUAAUACGUUGGUGGCAAGGUUUAUCCGGAUUUUUUGGGUUUAAAGGGUGCGUAGGCGGGUCGGUAAGUCCGUGGUAAAAUUGAGGGGCUCAACCCCUUCCCGCCAUUGAAACUGGCGUUCUUGAGUGGAAGAGAAGUAUGCGGAAUGCGUGGUGUAGCGGUGAAAUGCAUAGAUAUCACGCAGAACCCCGAUUGCGAAGGCAGCAUGCCGGCUUCCGACUGACGCUGAAGCACGAAAGCGUGGGGAUCGAACAGGAUUAGAUACCCCGGUAGUC
RNAcentral lists this ribosomal RNA (440 nucleotides) under uncultured bacterium. RNAcentral's name for it is "partial 16S ribosomal RNA". It matches the Rfam family "Bacterial small subunit ribosomal RNA", at positions 338 to 795 of the family's 1533-position model. The record is from RNAcentral.